RNAcentral lists this microRNA (21 nucleotides) under Ananas comosus (pineapple). RNAcentral's name for it is "microRNA s1457_c077b". Lineage: Eukaryota; Viridiplantae; Streptophyta; Magnoliopsida; Poales; Bromeliaceae. The record is from RNAcentral.
AAUUUCAUACUCGUAGUCUCU